CAGUCGCCACGGGAAUACGUAGGGUGCAAGCGUUAAUCGGAAUUACUGGGCGUAAAGCGUGCGCAGGCGGUUCUAUAAGACAGAUGUGAAAUCCCCGGGCUCAACCUGGGAACUGCAUUUGUGACUGUAGAGCUGGAGUGCGGCAGAGGGGGAUGGAAUUCCGCGUGUAGCAGUGAAAUGCGUAGAUAUGCGGAGGAACGCCGAUGGCGAAGGCAAUCCCCUGGGCCUGCACUGACGCUCAUGCACGAAAGCGUGGGGAGCAAACAGGAUUAGAUACCCCCGUAGUCCCUGUCUCUUAUAC
This 301-nucleotide ribosomal RNA is filed under the name uncultured bacterium. RNAcentral describes it as "partial 16S ribosomal RNA". It matches the Rfam family "Bacterial small subunit ribosomal RNA", at positions 509 to 807 of the family's 1533-position model. The record is from RNAcentral.